Molecule: non-coding RNA, 1206 nt
Organism: Cicer arietinum (chickpea)
Lineage: Eukaryota; Viridiplantae; Streptophyta; Magnoliopsida; Fabales; Fabaceae
Source: RefSeq, a predicted model, not a curated record
AAAAAAGAGGGGGUUUAAUAGUAAAAACGGAGGUAGUGGCGGGCGCGGUGGUAAGGAGGGGGAAUUGGCAGUUGGAAGAAGAAUAGUGAAUAUUUGAAGAUGAAAACCCCUGUUUCCGGUUUCUACAAAAAUCCCGUCAAGUUCAGGAUGCCAACUUCGGAAAACCUUGUACCCCUUCGACUUGACAUCGAAAUCGACGGCCACAGAUACAAGGAUGCUUUCACUUGGAACCCUUCUGAUCCUGAUUCUGAGGUUGUGGUCUUUGCUAAAAGAACUGUUAAAGACUUGAAGCUACCUCCUCCUUUUGUUACUCAAAUUGCUCAAUCCAUUCAAUCACAGCUAGCUGAAUUUCGAUCCUAUGACGGCCAAGAUAUGUAUGCUGGAGAGAAGAUUGUUCCCAUCAAGCUUGAUCUUCGUGUAAAUCAUACUCUUGUAAAAGACCAGUUUUUAUGGGAUUUAAACAACUUUGAUAGUGAUCCUGAAGAGUUUGCAAGAACCUUCUGCAAAGACAUGGGCAUUGAGGAUCCUGAGGUUGGACCAGCUAUUGCCUUUGCCAUCAGAGAACAGCUUUAUGAGAUUGCAAUUCAAAGCGUGGUUUCAGCAAGAGAAAGCAGAUUAAGUAAGAAGGGUCGUCGAGGGGCUGACUUUACUCCAGUCAGUAAAGGAGGUGCUGUAGCAGUGGACUUGGUCAAGUUAUUUGGUAUCAAAUCUAGUGUUGUUCGGAAAAGAAAGGAGUGGGACGUAUAUGAACCCAUUGUGGAUCUUCUAUCUAAUGAGGAAGUUGAUGUCCUUGAAGCAAAGGAAGAGAAAAAUUUCAGGGGGUCCAUAUCAAAUAAUAUUUAGUCGAACCAAGCCAAGGAAUAUAAACUGUAAAUGGAUUUAUUCACCAACAUGAGUUACCUCUAACUGGAAGAGGGCUUUUAUAUAAUAUAAUAAAAGUGGGAGGAAGAGGAACACAGACAGAGAGAGGCAAGAUCCGUGAGAUGAGGCUACUGAUGAUGGAAGGAACAUCACUCCUUUUUAUUGACUUCUCUUAUCUCUCUCAUCAAACCUAAAGGGCUGAACCCAAGCACAUGCUACAUCACCUUACACGUGAAGAUCUUUUCCAUUGGAUUUUACUAUUAUUUUAUUCAAUUAAUGGAGACUCAGUGGACCCUUUUUGCUUAAUAAGUUAAACUUUAGCCUUUUCAUUUGAAGCUACUACUA